CAGUAGGGAAUCUUCCGCAAUGGACGAAAGUCUGACGGAGCAACGCCGCGUGAGUGAGGAAGGCCUUCGGGUCGUAAAGCUCUGUUGUGAGGGAAGAAGCGGUACCGGAAUAGNNGGCGGUACCUUGACGGUACCUCACCAGAAAGCCACGGCUAACUACGUGCCAGCAGCCGCGGUAAUACGUAGGUGGCAAGCGUUGUCCGGAAUUAUUGGGCGUAAAGCGCGCGCAGGCGGCUUCUUAAGUCUGAUGUGAAAUCUCGGGGCUCAACCCCGAGCGGCCAUUGGAAACUGGGGAGCUUGAGUGCAGAAGAGGAGAGUGGAAUUCCACGUGUAGCGGUGAAAUGCGUAGAGAUGUGGAGGAACACCAGUGGCGAAGGCGACUCUCUGGUCUGUAACUGACGCUGAGGCGCGAAAGCGUGGGGAGCAAACAGGAUUAGAUACCUGGGUAGUCC
Molecule: ribosomal RNA, 452 nt
Filed under: Shouchella clausii
Lineage: Bacteria; Bacillati; Bacillota; Bacilli; Caryophanales; Bacillaceae
Description: bacterial SSU rRNA
Rfam family: Bacterial small subunit ribosomal RNA
Source: RNAcentral